This 431-nucleotide ribosomal RNA is filed under the name uncultured bacterium. Its description in RNAcentral is "bacterial SSU rRNA". It matches the Rfam family "Bacterial small subunit ribosomal RNA", at positions 8 to 442 of the family's 1533-position model. The record is from RNAcentral.
AGAGUUUGAUCCUGGCUCAGAAUGAACGUUGGCGGCGUGGAUUAGGCAUGCAAGUCGAACGGGCCUGGUAGCAAUAUCAGGUCAGUGGCGUAAGGGUGAGUAAGGCGACGGCAACCAACCCCAUGGUUGGGCAUAGCCGCGGGAAACUGCGGGUAAUUCCCAGCGAUGUUCGUACCGGGCAUCCGGUGUGAACCAAAGUUCUGGCGCCGUGGGACGGGCCGUCGUGGUAUUAGGUAGUUGGCGGGGUAAUGGCCCACCAAGCCUCUGAUGCCUACCGGGCGUGCGAGCGUGGCCCGGCACACUGGGACUGAGACACUGCCCAGACUCCUACGGGAGGCUGCAGUCGAGAAUCUUCGGCAAUGGGCGCAAGCCUGACCGAGCGACGCCGCGUGGAGGAUGAAGGCCUUCGGGUUGUAAACUCCUGUCGAGGG